GAUGAACGCUGGCGGCGUGCCUAAUACAUGCAAGUCGAGCGAACGGACGAGAAGCUUGCUUCUCUGAUGUUAGCGGCGGACGGGUGAGUAACACGUGGAUAACCUACCUAUAAGACUGGGAUAACUUCGGGAAACCGGAGCUAAUACCGGAUAAUAUUUUGAACCGCAUGGUUCAAAAGUGAAAGACGGUCUUGCUGUCACUUAUAGAUGGAUCCGCGCUGCAUUAGCUAGUUGGUAAGGUAACGGCUUACCAAGGCAACGAUGCAUAGCCGACCUGAGAGGGUGAUCGGCCACACUGGAACUGAGACACGGUCCAGACUCCUACGGGAGGCAGCAGUAGGGAAUCUUCCGCAAUGGGCGAAAGCCUGACGGAGCAACGCCGCGUGAGUGAUGAAGGUCUUCGGAUCGUAAAACUCUGUUAUUAGGGAAGAACAUAUGUGUAAGUAACUGUGCACAUCUUGACGGUACCUAAUCAGAAAGCCACGGCUAACUGCGUGCCAGCAGCCGCGGUAAUACGUAGGUGGCAAGCGUUAUCCGGAAUUAUUGGGCGUAAAGCGCGCGUAGGCGGUUUUUUAAGUCUGAUGUGAAAGCCCACGGCUCAACCGUGGAGGGUCAUUGGAAACUGGAAAACUUGAGUGCAGAAGAGGAAAGUGGAAUUCCAUGUGUAGCGGUGAAAUGCGCAGAGAUAUGGAGGAACACCAGUGGCGAAGGCGACUUUCUGGUCUGUAACUGACGCUGAUGUGCGAAAGCGUGGGGAUCAAACAGGAUUAGAUACCCUGGUAGUCCACGCCGUAAACGAUGAGUGCUAAGUGUUAGGGGGUUUCCGCCCCUUAGUGCUGCAGCUAACGCAUUAAGCACUCCGCCUGGGGAGUACGACCGCAAGGUUGAAACUCAAAGGAAUUGACGGGGACCCGCACAAGCGGUGGAGCAUGUGGUUUAAUUCGAAGCAACGCGAAGAACCUUACCAAAUCUUGACAUCCUUUGACAACUCUAGAGAUAGAGCCUUCCCCUUCGGGGGACAAAGUGACAGGUGGUGCAUGGUUGUCGUCAGCUCGUGUCGUGAGAUGUUGGGUUAAGUCCCGCAACGAGCGCAACCCUUAAGCUUAGUUGCCAUCAUUAAGUUGGGCACUCUAAGUUGACUGCCGGUGACAAACCGGAGGAAGGUGGGGAUGACGUCAAAUCAUCAUGCCCCUUAUGAUUUGGGCUACACACGUGCUACAAUGGACAAUACAAAGGGCAGCGAAACCGCGAGGUCAAGCAAAUCCCAUAAAGUUGUUCUCAGUUCGGAUUGUAGUCUGCAACUCGACUACAUGAAGCUGGAAUCGCUAGUAAUCGUAGAUCAGCAUGCUACGGUGAAUACGUUCCCGGGUCU
RNAcentral lists this ribosomal RNA (1372 nucleotides) under uncultured bacterium. RNAcentral describes it as "bacterial SSU rRNA". It matches the Rfam family "Bacterial small subunit ribosomal RNA", at positions 28 to 1381 of the family's 1533-position model. The record is from RNAcentral.